RNAcentral lists this ribosomal RNA (493 nucleotides) under uncultured bacterium. RNAcentral's name for it is "partial 16S ribosomal RNA". It matches the Rfam family "Bacterial small subunit ribosomal RNA", at positions 32 to 507 of the family's 1533-position model. The record is from RNAcentral.
AACGCUGGCGGGGUGCCUAAUACAUGCAAGUCGAGCGAACAGACGAGGAGCUUUCUCCUCUGACGUUAGCGGCGGACGGGUGAGUAAAACGUGGAUAACCUACCUAUAAGACUGGGAUAAAUUCGGGGAAACGGAGCUAAUAACGGAUAAUAUAUUUAAACGGAUGGGUUAAUAAUUAAAAGAGGUUUUGCUUGUCCUUAUUGAUGGAUCCGGGCCGGAUUAGCUAGUUGGUAAGGGAACGGCUUACCAAGGCGACGAUGCGUAGCCGACCUGAGAGGGUGAUCGGCCACACUGGAACUGAGACACGGUCCAGACUCCUACGGGAGGCAGCAGUAGGGAAUCUUCCGCAAUGGGCGAAAGCCUGACGGAGCAACGCCGCGUGAGUGAUGAAGGUCUUCGGAUCGUAAAACUCUGUUAUUAGGGAAGAACAAAUGUGUAAGUAACUAUGCACGUCUUGACGGUACCUAAUCAGAAAGCCACGGCUAACUACGUG